Long non-coding RNA from Corythoichthys intestinalis (scribbled pipefish), 3096 nucleotides. RefSeq lists it as uncharacterized. The record is from RefSeq and is a predicted model, not a curated record. Lineage: Eukaryota; Metazoa; Chordata; Actinopteri; Syngnathiformes; Syngnathidae. The transcript has 5 exons.
UGUUACCAAGUAUUAGGCUGAGGGUGCCAAUACAUUUGUCUAAAAUGAUUUUUUUUCUCCAUUCUCUUGUUUUUUCAUGGCAGGCAAAAUAAAGUUAUUGCUACCUAAGCAUUUGUAAUUGCGAUCAUUAUCUGACAGAAUUGCAGGGGUGCCAAAUGGUAAAUGGACUGUACUUAUAUAGCACAUUUAUCUGCAUGUUUACCAUGCCCAAAGCGCUUUACAUUAGCACACAUUUACCCGUUCACGCACACAUGCAAGGCGCCGUUAACCCAUUGGAGGCAAAUCAGGGUUAAGUGCCUUGCCCAAGGGCACUUCGACCGUGGGCAGUCUUAGCCGGGAAUCGAACCAUUGACCCUUCGGUCCAAGGACAACUCUAGCUACCAACUGUGCCACGGCCGCCCCGCCCAAUACCUUUGGCCAGCAGUGUAAGAAAUUAAUAAAACUCAUGUAGUUUGGAUUUUUUAACCCACCAUUUAAAGAAAAUGGACCUUUUUCUACAAUUAAGAACUAAUUCAAAUGUUUAUACACAUCCGAUAAAUCUGCAAAUAAUUAGAUGUUUAAAAUGCUUACCCCUGGAAAAGAUGUUAAUCCCCAAAUUUUUAAAUAUGAGCGCAAAAGUGCUAUUAGGCUUAAUACAUGCAUUUUUCCAAUUGUUGCGAUUUCAAAGAACAUGGAAAAACGCUUCAUGACAAUGUUUGGUGGGCCGUCCCUCAUUUUUCUACUGAAUUUAAAUGUAGGGCUCUUUGCAGUAGGCGCUAACGGCGAGUGGCACCUUGCGACUGAAGGUUACAAACUUCUCGGUGUGCUCGUUGACAAAGAUGUUGAUGCCCGCCUUGAGCAUGGCCUGCUGCAGGUCGGGCGCGCUCAUCCACUUGUCAAAAAGAUCGUGAUGCUGAGGUCUAUGAGCGCCCCUUGGAUGCUGUAGAGAGCUGAGUCUUUGCCAAGCGGGCGCAGCUCCCAGCGCCGAAAGGGAAAGUUGGCGUAGGUGCGCUGCAUCAACACAAAGGGGUAGAAGUGCUCCAUUUUGAAGGAGACCUUUGUCCCCCCACUGCUUUCCUCCUCUUCUUCCUCCUCCUCCUCAUCGUCAUCUUCAUCCUUUUCCACCUUCGGCACCCCCUCCUCUUCAACAUGUUCACGGAGUCAUUCCGUUACCUUCCGGAUCCCAGCGAGCCACUUGAGGAGUUUCCAGGAAGACCACCGAUUCUGGGAGUUUCACAGACAAGCUGACAAGUGUGGAGGCGGCUUCCUCAUCUUCUGGAUUUGGCUUCUCGGCAACAUACUUGAAGACUUUCAAGCCUGUGUCUGAUAUCUUUCCAGCAAAAGUUCCUCAUUUAUACAAAAAUGUCAUUCCGAAAUGUCACUUUGAAAUCACCUUUUGGAUUUCCCAGCCCUUGAUAUGAAAAGAUUGCGACGGAAGGUGGAAGAGCUCAUAGUAGAAGACCCCUCCCAGGGGCGUGUACAUUCUCAAAUCCACUACGUUGACAUGCUCGCGGUAUUCUGUCACAUCAUGUGGCGGUGGAGGAGUCUUUUCGUCUGAUAGUCUCUUCAUCCUGCUGUGCCUCCUCCACAUCUUGAGUCUCCUCUGGGGUCUCGUCAUCCUGCUUGACGGUCGCCUCCGGCGGAACGUCUUCGAAUACGGUCAUGAGGUGUAUCCCCUCCCCAAAUGGUGAACCGCUUCAUAUAGAGGUUCAAAACAAGGAUUUGACAUACCUGCGGGGGGCCGUGGUGGGUUUCAUGUGAGUCAACCUGCACACUAAGGAUAGGUGGUCGUAGCUGGUGUGGAGGACCCGCAGGGCGAUGUUGCUCGCUGCCAGCUGUUUGGUCAGCUCAAAGCCAAGGCCCACGCCUUUGAAAGUUAAACGUUUAAAUCUGUCACACAAAUACAAGAUAUCUGUAAUUCUCGAUGACUGUGGCUCACUUUUUAUGGCACUAGGGGUGUGACAAAAUAUCGAAAUGGUGAUGUAUCGUGAUACUUUGUAUACCCAAAGGUUAUCGAUAUGCUCCUGCCAAAAAUUGAGAUAUCGUUUUAAAAAAGUGUCAAUGUCUUAAAAAGGAAGCAACAAGUUGCUACCAAAAUCUUCCACCAUAAUAGUGUCUCGGUUAACUCUAAGGCUGCAUUGACUGUGCUCGACGCCCAAUUCAUUUAGACCAGAAACGUUCGUUCAUUCGAAACCAGAGCAUUCACAGUCAUUCUCUCCGAUUUUUAGGGCAUUUACGCUUCACUUGCUGUCAGAGGUGAAACUGGGCCAGAACAGACAGGAACGCAGUUCCGGUAUAAGAUUCAGGGCCGGAUGCGUUCCGGUAUAAGAUUCAGGGCCGGAGUGCUGUUCCGGUACACGGUGCUUUGAUUCCAAAAAUGUGACGGCAAAUGUAAAAAAAUAAUAAAUGCUAAGCUGCCACACAUGCAUUUCAUCUCCAAGAAGAAAUCAAUUUACCAACAUCAGAUUUACAUACACAUGUGUUAACAACCAGCACAAUAAAGGGCUUGUAUAGCGUAAUCCGUUUCCACUGAUAUUUAUUAUUUAUUUUAUGGACGAUGUCACGUCAAUGUGCGAAUGCAUGCAGCAAAGCAAAACGCCUGGACUCAUUUAUCCAUUCAACUGGCUGACAUACGGACAUGUGAUCACCAGAGAUGGUUAGCUCUGAUUGGUUCAAAUAUGCAUGUUUUCUGAAACAGCAAAAAAAAAAAAAAAAAAAUUGAUGCAACAAAAAAAAAGGGCAAAAUGCGACAGAAAAUGGAUAAAAUCUUUAAGAGCAAGGCAAGAGUUAAGGAAGCUUAUUUAUCAUAUUUAGUUUUAUCUGCUCAGAUGGGGAGGUUUUGAACAUCUUAGCUGUCAAUGUGCACUUUGGACUUAUAUUUGUUCAUUUAUGUUAGGCUACUUAUUCAUUUCCUAAUGAUUUAAAAAAGUCAAUGUUUGCGUGAUCUUCAAACUAUAUUCCAUUUCACUGCAUAAUAUAAGUCAUUUGUACUUAUUUUUCUGAAUGUAUGUUACUUAUAUUUGUAUUAUUAAAAAACACAACAAAAAGUAAAUGUUUACAUGAAUUUCAAUUUUAAUCUACAGUACAUCUUAUGUUCUUAAGUAGUAAGGAUUUGGC